CCUACGGGGCGCAGCAGUGAGGAAUAUUGGUCAAUGGACGAGAGUCUGAACCAGCCAAGUAGCGUGAAGGAUGACUGCCCUAUGGGUUGUAACCUUCUUUUAUAAAGGAAUAAAACGGGGCACGUGUGCCUUUUUGCAUGUACUUUAUGAAUAAGGAUCGGCUAACUCCGUGCCAGCAGCCGAGGUAAUACGGAGGAUCCGAGCGUUAUCCGGAUUUAUUGGGUUUAAAGGGAGCGUAGAUGGGUUGUUAAGUCAGUUGUGAAAGUUUGCGGCUCAACCGUAAAAUUGCAAUUGAUACUGGCAGUCUUGAGUACAGUUGAGGUAGGCGGAAUUCGUGGUGUAGCGGUGAAAUGCUUAGAUAUCACGAAGAACCCCGAUUGCGAAGGCAGCUUACUAAACUGUGACUGACAUUGAUGCUCGAAAGUGUGGGUAUCAAACAGGAUUAGAUACCCGGGUAGUC
This 460-nucleotide ribosomal RNA is filed under the name uncultured bacterium. RNAcentral's name for it is "partial 16S ribosomal RNA". It matches the Rfam family "Bacterial small subunit ribosomal RNA", at positions 338 to 795 of the family's 1533-position model. The record is from RNAcentral.